This 239-nucleotide ribosomal RNA is filed under the name uncultured bacterium. RNAcentral describes it as "partial 16S ribosomal RNA". It matches the Rfam family "Bacterial small subunit ribosomal RNA", at positions 15 to 236 of the family's 1533-position model. The record is from RNAcentral.
GAUCCUGGCUCAGGAUGAACGCUGGCGGCGUGCUUAACACAUGCAAGUCGAGCGAAGCGAAUCUUCGGAAGUUUUCGGAUGGAAGAGGAUUUGACUUAGCGGCGGACGGGUGAGUAACGCGUGGGUAACCUGCCUUACACUGGGGGAUAACAGUUAGAAAUGACUGCUAAUACCGCAUAAGCGCACAGGGCCGCAUGGCCUGGUGUGAAAAACUCCGGUGGUGUAAGAUGGACCCGCGU